GACGAACGCUGGCGGCGUGCCUAAUACAUGCAAGUCGAGCGAAUGAUAAGGAGCUUGCUCCUUAUCAUUAGCGGCGGACGGGUGAGUAACACGUGGGCAACCUGCCUAUAAGACUGGGAUAACUUCGGGAAACCGGAGCUAAUACCGGAUACGUUCUUUUCUCGCAUGAGAGAAGAUGGAAAGACGGUCUCGGCUGUCACUUAUA
This 205-nucleotide ribosomal RNA is filed under the name uncultured bacterium. RNAcentral's name for it is "partial 16S ribosomal RNA". It matches the Rfam family "Bacterial small subunit ribosomal RNA", at positions 28 to 223 of the family's 1533-position model. The record is from RNAcentral.